AACGUAGGACACAAGCGUUAUCCGGAGUUAUUGGGCGUAAAGAGCGUGUAGGCGGCUGGGUAGGUCCGUUGUGAAAACUCGAGGCUCAACCUCGAGACGCCGAUGGAAACCCUCCAGCUAGAGUCCGGAAGAGGAGAGUGGAAUUCCUGGUGUAGCGGUGAAAUGCGCAGAUAUCAGGAAGAACACCCGUGGCUAAGGCGGCUCUCUAGUACGGUACUGACGCUGAGACGCGAAAGCGUGGGGAGCGAACAGG
Molecule: ribosomal RNA, 253 nt
Filed under: uncultured bacterium
Lineage: Bacteria
Description: partial 16S ribosomal RNA
Rfam family: Bacterial small subunit ribosomal RNA
Source: RNAcentral